GCGGCCUGCGGGGUGGGGUGUCAGAACGGUGACGUGCGUGUUGCCGGGACACCACAAAGGGACCGAGACCACGCCAGCAGCCAUGGGGCAGCUGCUCUGCAAGGACAUAGGCACAAAGGAUUCGGCACAAGACUUCACCAAUGAGAAACAAACCAUUCCUACACCCCGCAUUUCUGUGACACCGCCCCUGGAUGAAUGCACUGAAGCAAUGUCAAUGGAAGGUCCUCCCACCAAGGCAGCAACCAGCGGGGGAGCUGGGCAGAGCCAGGAGCCGGACAGCGGGGCGAACAAGGAGAAGCCAUGACCCACAGGCAGAGGCUGCUCAUUGCCCACCAUGACUCCUGCGUGCUUACGGACAGGGAGACCACCAGAGCCCACCCUUGAGCCUGGCCCUCCCCAGCUGGAGAGGAGCCGGGCAAUAAAAGCGAGUGCUUGGAA
Long non-coding RNA from Lagopus leucura (white-tailed ptarmigan), 438 nucleotides. RefSeq lists it as uncharacterized. The record is from RefSeq and is a predicted model, not a curated record. The transcript has 2 exons. NCBI's taxonomy places the organism in Eukaryota, Metazoa, Chordata, Aves, Galliformes, Phasianidae.